CUACUUAUCUGGCAGGCAGGGGAGACCCCAAGAUCACGUAGAUGGUUUUCCCAGGGUGAAGUUUGUCCAUUGCCCUCUGGGUAUGCUGACCCCUGCAAUUUCCCCAAAUAUGGGAAACUUCACCUUGCAAUUUGUGGGUAGUGGGGCAUUGUGUUCACACUCUUCUCUG
This is a small nuclear RNA of Ornithorhynchus anatinus (platypus), 169 nucleotides long. RefSeq annotates it as U1 spliceosomal RNA. Lineage: Eukaryota; Metazoa; Chordata; Mammalia; Monotremata; Ornithorhynchidae. The transcript has a single exon. The record is from RefSeq and is a predicted model, not a curated record.